This 234-nucleotide long non-coding RNA is filed under the name Sorghum bicolor (sorghum). Its description in RNAcentral is "long non-coding RNA (SBIC_LNC004006)". The record is from RNAcentral. Lineage: Eukaryota; Viridiplantae; Streptophyta; Magnoliopsida; Poales; Poaceae.
GAUGCAUGGUUUAUUUAUACGACGACGACGACGAGGACGAGGACAUGGAUGAUGCUGAGGACGGAUGGGCGGCGGGCUUUCACUUGCCGCAGCUGCAGCUGGUGCCGCAGUAGCAGCUGGCGCCGCACUUGCAGGCGCCGUCGUGCUCCGCAACGGUCACCUCCUCCUCAACGAUCUGCAUGCAUGCAUCAGAUCAUAUGCAUCCGUAUUCAGAAUAAUUCAUCCUUUAGAUAU